This is a long non-coding RNA of Nicotiana tabacum (common tobacco), 637 nucleotides long. RefSeq lists it as uncharacterized. NCBI's taxonomy places the organism in Eukaryota, Viridiplantae, Streptophyta, Magnoliopsida, Solanales, Solanaceae. The record is from RefSeq and is a predicted model, not a curated record.
UAUAUAUGUAAUCUUUCAUCAACCAAGAAAAUACACUCACACAAUUAGCUCUUCUUCUCGCAAUCAGCUACUCCAAACUCUGUUAAAAUGGCUCACAAGUUCGCUUUCUUUUAUUGUGUUCUCCUUGUGGCACUAACUGUUCAUUCAAACACUGGGGCGAUGGCGGUGCGAGACUUACCUUUAGAAGAAAAGGUGAUUGAGCAAAUUCUAGUACCAGAUCUUACUAAUAAAAAAGGAUGUUACAACCUCUGCAAAUCUGAUGCAAAUUGCAAUAACAGAGGUUCAGAGUGUAGGCAAUGUCGAACGGCACAUAAUCAUUAUGAUAUUACAAUGAGAUGCUAUCCCAGGAUUUGAAUCUCAUAUGAUAAAAAUGAUUUUACACAAAUAAUCGGUCGAAUUCAUAAAUACAAUUUUUGUGGUCUUUUUAUUUUUACUUGCUCCGUUUUAAGCUUUGUGUCAUGUGUAAGGUAAAGAAUACAAGUGACUAUCUAUUGUUCUGGAAUCUGAAUAAAUAUGUGCUGGAUAUGAUAAACUCCAAAAGAUGCAAAUAGUCUAAGGUGUUACUAUUACGAAAAAUAUGUGUUUUCGUAUGAGUAUGUUGUAUUUUUAUUUUAUUUAUUAUUUCUUGUUGAAUGAA